Molecule: long non-coding RNA, 2353 nt
Organism: Podarcis muralis (Common wall lizard)
Lineage: Eukaryota; Metazoa; Chordata; Lepidosauria; Squamata; Lacertidae
Source: Ensembl
GCACAGCUUGGUCAAGGUCUGUGCACCAGACGUUCUAUAACCGGCUGGUGCAAACAGGAAUGCUAGCCAUCUUGCAAAACAACAACAACAACAGCCCUGUUCCACAUAAAUUUCAUCCUAACUCAAAGAGCUUCUAGGACGAGGGCUGCCAAUGUUAAGGAUAAUGGUUUAAUUUCCUGAAAUGUUGCUUAUGUUGCAUUGGUGUGUGUUUAUUUAUUUAUUUAUUGCAUGGGGUUCUUCCUUUGGCAACAGCUCUCUCAUGUGAUUGGCUGGCUGUGAGUCACAUGAGAGAGCCAUUCCAUUCUGUUGUGACUGUUAUUCAAGUAACUGUCGUUUUUAACUGUUUUCUGUUCUCCUUUCUCUCUGUGUGUGUGGGAGAAUGGCUGCUGAGUUUGGCUUCUCUGGAUGAUGCUGAGGGCAAUGCGGUGUCGGUGUGCUCUGUCUGGGUUGAAGCAGACAGAGGAAGAUCCCUAAAUGUUAACAGGGAGGAGAAACAUGUGCUCUUUCUAUAAGGAACGAACACAACUAAAUAUCCAGGGUCUCCUGAGUAAGAAGCAGGAAAGAGAAAAUUUCCCAGGGUGCGAGAAUGAGGGAGGAAAUGGAAGCUCCCAGGCAAGAGUUGGGAGAGUUCACCUUUCUCUGUGUGGGACAAGCUAUGAUUUAUCUGUGAAAGAGGACUUUGUAUUCUUUUUUCUCUCUUUUUGUAUGUUUGUGUUUAGUUAUUUUAUUGUAAUGUCUUAAUAAAGCUUUAUAAAAUAGAAAUAAAAAUACCCAGGGUCUCUUCUACCUUAUCAGUUUCUAUAUGGCCUGUACUGCACUGAAAUUCUAUAUGUGUUGACACAUAAGUAAUGUGAAUUCAAGGUUUGUUAGUGAACUAAUAAUUUUGAUGGGAAAUUGUUGAAGUAGGCAUGGUGUAUAUAUUCAAUGAUUCUGCACUGGGUACGGCAAUGAUUGGCUAAACUGUCCUUGCAUCACAGAAGGGCUGAAUAGGAAAAGGAGCGUUCAGAAGCAGCACUAAAAGAGGCUUAGAGAAUCUCAGGCUACAGGGCCAAAUGUGGUCCUCUAUUUGGCCUUUGUGACUCUAUGCUUCAUCUCAUCCCCAAUACACACUUCUUACAAGUUUUGCCUGGCUGGAAAAUUUCCUUGCUAGGAUGGAUCAGCAGCAGCUGAUCUGAAGUUAUGGUGAAGGAAAGCAACGAAGUUUCUCCCCUAUCAAAUGUUUAAUUUGUUUGUUUGCUUUUAAAGCUGGGGGUGGGGAAUAAAAAGAGGGGCACAGCUAUACAAGAGGAAGAAAGAAGAAGAAGAAGAGGAGGAGGAGGAGGAGGAGGUGGAGGAGGAGGAGUUUGGAUUUGUUAUCCCGCUUUAUCACUACCCUAAGGAGUCUCAAAGCGGAUAACAAUCUCCUUUCCCUUCCUCCCCCACAACAAACACUCUGUGAGUUGAGUGAUGAUGAGAGACUUCAGAGAAGUGUGACCAGCCCAAGGUCACCCAGCAGCUGCAUGUGGAGGAGCGGGGAAGCAACCCGGUUCACCAGAUUACGAGUCCACCACUCUUAACCACUACACCACACUGGCUCUACAAGACUACAGAGAGGCAUGCAGAUGGAUUGCAGCCUUUUGCAGAAGGGUCAUACUUAGGGUUGCCACAAAAAUUGUUGAGUUUUUUUUUAGGGAAACCCCCAGAGAUAGUGAUUUUAAGCUUUUGGAGCUUUUUUUUCAUCACGUUGCCAUACCUCCGGGUUUUCCCUGACAUUUUGCCGAUUCAGCAAGAUUCCCCCCAGACACUUCCACCCGAAAAGCAGGACAUGUCAGGGAUUUUCCUGACAUGGCAAGCCUAGUCACACCUGUUGCCCUGAACUCUUUUGCUUUUGGUUCUACCCAUCCCUGGCAUCUGUCCCCCAGAAGGUUGCCCAUGAGGGAAAGAGGCCCUCGGACUGAGAGAUGUUUCUGUCGGAGCUUCCGUACGACCAAACUGAAAUAGCUCUCCUCCUCUUCAUACUUCGGAACCCAUCAGGCUCUCCUCCUCCGACAGUGAUUAACGACUUAAGCCUUUGAUGAGGCUUCAGGCACGCUUCCGAUUCCACAGAGUAUCCAAACAGCAGAAGGAGCUGGAAAUAUGUGCUACAUCGCUAUGUUUAUUUCUAACUAUGCAGGACAGAAAAGAAUAUGCAUCUGCUCUCUGUGAGAGUCAGUGAACAACUGGAACAAAGCAACAUGAAACCAGUAACAUGAACGUCCGUCUCCCGUCUCCCAUCUCCCGUGACACUUCCAACAGUCUGGAAUGUAAACAGAGUCUUGUGACUCCAAAAACUGCACAGUGACAUAACAGAAACCUAACAGUUUCCUCCAACUGC